GUGAAAUUAGGGAACACCAUUAUGUAUUGUCCGAACACGGCAGUUGGAUGACACCCGUCUUAAUGAAAUUCGAGCUGCGACUUUGUCCGCAGAUAUGUUGAUUGAACGAGAUCAAAAGAAGCCUAUGUCGUUCUCAAAUAACAAAUAAGUAAAAAUAUACAUGGCAAUGGGCUGAAGACAUAGCUCGAAGAACUGACAACUGAUGGGGAAAACACGUUCUUGAGUGGCGGCCCCGUACGGUUAAACGCAGUGUAAGACAACCCCCACUAGAUGGAGUGACGAACUCAAAUACAUUGCAGAGAGUCAAGUGGAUGUUCAACAGUGAGCGGAUAAUGGCUGAGAUGAUGAUGAUAAAUAUAUAUAGUAUAUGUACACAAGGGAAUUCA
Long non-coding RNA from Galleria mellonella (greater wax moth), 386 nucleotides. RefSeq lists it as uncharacterized. Lineage: Eukaryota; Metazoa; Arthropoda; Insecta; Lepidoptera; Pyralidae. The record is from RefSeq and is a predicted model, not a curated record. The transcript has 3 exons.